GACAAAACUUAUCCAGCGAACAGAUCUCCAUCUCAGGUAUGACUCUCGCUUAUUUGGAUUACUUGACGAUGGGUACCUAACUUCUUUCGCCGAUUUUCAUUGCACUGCUCUAUCAUUCCAGGCAUGGAUUCACCGCUCUUUUGGUUGAUUGAUAAAUUCUCCAUCUAAUUUGUGUUGUGGUAUUUAGGCUACACCAAUUCUCGGCGGUUCAUUCAAACGUUAUUAUGGAAGCAUUUUCCUAAGUGUUGGCUAGGUUUUGUUUUCAUGAACAAGUCUGCUAAGAAGGUUUUAUUUUAAUAAACAGGUAGAGGGCUACUAAGAAACCCACACCAGCGAGCUUCAGGUAUGAUUAAGGUUUUGUUUUCAUUGUUUCAUUUGUGUCAUUUAGCGAGCCUUUCAUCUAUGAAAUGGAAAGAUCUUGCAACUUGCAGAAGUGGUUUAACUUCACAGAAUGUUCGUGUUCCAUGAUAAUGUGUCAAUAAAGUGAUGCCUGGCUACCUAGGGUAAGUACGAUUAUCAAUCAAACUUUCAUAAAAAUGAUUAACCUAAAUACCUAAUGUUAAAUCUUGGUUAACAUAUACGAAUUCACUCCAGAAAAAAUAGCAAAUUAUUGUUUGUGGACAAAGAAUUGGCUAGAUAAGCGCUAAGAUAAAGAGUGAUAAUGGCGGGGACCAAAAUGACAGCUCGGAAACUCUAUUUUUAGAGAAACAAACUACUAAUAAUAUUUCUAUAGUGUGAUAAUUCUAACUGCUUAAUAGUGAUUUAAGAACUGUUGUGAUGACCGUCGAUGAAAUCAGGUUCUUAUCAAGGAUGCAUGACAAAUUUUGGCGCAAUGCACCUAAGCAUCAUAAGAUGCAGGUUCUUAUCAAGGCGUUCACAAUGAUAUGGUGUAGCGCGCAAGUGAAUGGAGGAACCCAAGAUUUGUAUGAGAUGCACAAUAUGAAGAAUAUCAGUAACGGUAAAUUUAUCUUCUACCACAUCAGUGAGAAUUGAAACAAGAUGAUAGUAGUAUGCACCUAAAAAAGUAUGUACUCAAUUGUUAAAUUGU
Papaver somniferum (opium poppy) is the source of this 1048-nucleotide long non-coding RNA. RefSeq lists it as uncharacterized. The record is from RefSeq and is a predicted model, not a curated record. NCBI's taxonomy places the organism in Eukaryota, Viridiplantae, Streptophyta, Magnoliopsida, Ranunculales, Papaveraceae. The transcript has 3 exons.